This 447-nucleotide ribosomal RNA is filed under the name uncultured organism. RNAcentral describes it as "partial 16S ribosomal RNA". It matches the Rfam family "Bacterial small subunit ribosomal RNA", at positions 332 to 796 of the family's 1533-position model. The record is from RNAcentral.
UACACUCCUACGGGAGGCAGCAGUGGGGAAUAUUGGACAAUGGGCGCAAGCCUGAUCCAGCCAUGCCGCGUGAGUGAUGAAGGCCCUAGGGUUGUAAAGCUCUUUCACCGGUGAAGAUAAUGACGGUAACCGGAGAAGAAGCCCCGGCUAACUUCGUGCCAGCAGCCGCGGUAAUACGAAGGGGGCUAGCGUUGUUCGGAUUUACUGGGCGUAAAGCGCACGUAGGCGGACUAUUAAGUCAGGGGUGAAAUCCCGGGGCUCAACCCCGGAACUGCCUUUGAUACUGGUAGUCUUGAGUUCGAGAGAGGUGGGUGGAAUUCCGAGUGUAGAGGUGAAAUUCGUAGAUAGUCGGAGGAACACCAGUGGCGAAGGCGGCUCACUGGCUCGAUACUGACGCUGAGGUGCGAAAGCGUGGGGAGCAAACAGGAUUAGAUACCCCGGUAGUCC